AGCAGUGUUUACCAAUGAACACACUCUGAACUAGCAUGAGUUAGAUUAAAUUAUCUAUAACAUAGAUAAGCAACCAGUUUAAUUUUCCUCUUCAGAUUCUUAUUUUCACACUUUCUAUUCUAAAUCAGAUUUUUGAUUGGGCUAGGGAAAGAUUUUCAUUGCAAGAGGUAAAGGGGGCUUUUCAGUGCAUUUUCUUCCUUGCUUCCUGAAAUUCUGGGCUGUGGACUUGGGAAGAGAAGUGGUUCAGCUAUUGGAACUGAACACAUUUAAACAAACAGGCAGUAAUGUUUUGACCUUCUGGAUCCUGGCUUGAAGUGGGUAUUACAAACAAGCCAACACUCUGGAUGGAGGAGCAGGGGAGAUGAAUCUGAAUUCCAACCCGAAAAUAGCUGGAAGAAGCAAAAAUCCCCAGGACCCUGGACCAACAGGGAUUAAGAUCAGAGACAGGCGAAAGGAUCCAAGUGGCCAUGUGCACUGCUCCAGGGAACAGCAAAAGCCUGAGAUUGCCAGAGGCCCAGGGAGCUGAUGAGCCAGAGGCCCAGGGAGCUGAUGAGUGGGAGAACAUGGCAGAAAGCCACAUGGGUAAUCAAAGGGCCCCUUCCCUGAGGCCUUGACUUCGACAGCAAAUCCAGAUGCAACUAAAGGCUCAGAGAAUAGAUCUACACGUG
Felis catus (domestic cat) is the source of this 668-nucleotide long non-coding RNA. RefSeq lists it as uncharacterized. The transcript has 2 exons. The record is from RefSeq and is a predicted model, not a curated record. Lineage: Eukaryota; Metazoa; Chordata; Mammalia; Carnivora; Felidae.